RNAcentral lists this ribosomal RNA (775 nucleotides) under uncultured Candidatus Cardinium sp. RNAcentral's name for it is "bacterial SSU rRNA". It matches the Rfam family "Bacterial small subunit ribosomal RNA", at positions 627 to 1406 of the family's 1533-position model. Lineage: Bacteria; Pseudomonadati; Bacteroidota; Cytophagia; Cytophagales; Amoebophilaceae. The record is from RNAcentral.
UUGAUACUAUUAGGCUUGAGUUAAGAAGAGGUAAGCAGAAUUUAUGGUGUAGUAGUGAAAUGCUUAGAUAUCAUAAGGAAUACCAAUAGCGUAGGCAGCUUACUGGUCUUUAACUGACGCUGAGGCACGAAAGCGUGGGGAGCAAACAGGAUUAGAUACCCUGGUAGUCCACGCCGUAAACGAUGAUCACUCGAUAUACAUGAUACAUCAUGUGUGUCUAAGCGAAAGCGUUAAGUGAUCCACCUGGGGAGUAUACUCGCAAGGGUGAAACUCAAAGGAAUUGACGGGGGUCCGCACAAGCGGUGGAGUAUGUGGUUUAAUUCGAUAAUACGCGAGGAACCUUACCUGGGCUAGAAUGUGUUUUGCUACCUUGAGAAAUUAAGGGUUCCUUCGGGACGGAAUACAAGGUGCUGCAUGGCUGUCGUCAGCUCGCGCCGUGAGGUGUUGGGUUAAGUCCUAUAACGAGCGAAACCCUUUUACUUAAUUGCCAGCACGUAAUGGUGGGGACUUUAAGUAGACUGCCCGUGUAAGCGGGAGGAAGGAGAGGACGAGGUCAAGUCAUCAUGGCCUUUAUGCCCAGGGCUACACACGUACUACAAUGGCAUGUACAAGGGGAAGCUACUCGGCAACAAGAUGCAAAUCUCAAAAGCAUGUCUCAGUUCGGAUUGAGGUCUGCAAUUCGACCUCAUGAAGUUGGAAUCGCUAGUAAUCGCGUAUCAGCAAUGACGCGGUGAAUACGUUCUCGGACCUUGUACACACCGCCCAUCAAGCCAUG